ACGCUAGCUACAGGCUUAACACAUGCAAGUCGAGGGGAAACGGCAUUAAGUGCUCGCACUUUUUGGACGUCGACCGGCGCACGGGUGAGUAACGCGUAUCCAACCUUCCCAUGACAAAGGGAUAACCUGCCGAAAGGCAGACUAAUACCUUAUGGUCUUCACUGACGGCAUCAGAUGUGAAGUAAAGAUUUAUCGGUUAUGGAUGGGGAUGCGUCUGAUUAGCUUGUUGGCGGGGUAACGGCCCACCAAGGCAACGAUCAGUAGGGGUUCUGAGAGGAAGGUCCCCCACAUUGGAACUGAGACACGGUCCAAACUCCUACGUGAGGCAGCAGUGAGGAAUAUUGGUCAAUGGGCGAGAGCCUGAACCAGCCAAGUAGCGUGCAGGAUGACGGCUCUAUGGGUUGUAAACUGCUUUUGUAUGGGGAUAAAGUCAGUCACGUGUGAUUGUUUGCAGGUACCAUACGAAUAAGGACCGGCUAAUUCCGUGCCAGCAGCCGCGGUAAUACGGAAGGUCCGGGCGUUAUCCGGAUUUAUUGGGUUUAAAGGGAGCGUAGGCUGGAGAUUAAGUGUGUUGUGAAAUGUAGACGCUCAACGUCUGACUUGCAGCGCAUACUGGUUUCCUUGAGUACGCACAACGUUGGCGGAAUUCGUCGUGUAGCGGUGAAAUGCUUAGAUAUGACGAAGAACUCCGAUUGCGAAGGCAGCUGACGGGAGCGCAACUGACGCUGAAGCUCGAAGGUGCGGGUAUCGAACAGGAUUAGAUACCCUGGUAGUCCGCACAGUAAACGAUGGAUGCCCGCUGUUGGUACUUGGUAUCAGCGGCUAAGCGAAAGCAUUAAGCAUCCCACCUGGGGAGUACGCCGGCAACGGUGAAACUCAAAGGAAUUGACGGGGGCCCGCACAAGCGGAGGAACAUGUGGUUUAAUUC
This 928-nucleotide ribosomal RNA is filed under the name uncultured bacterium. RNAcentral's name for it is "bacterial SSU rRNA". It matches the Rfam family "Bacterial small subunit ribosomal RNA", at positions 33 to 952 of the family's 1533-position model. The record is from RNAcentral.